This 1496-nucleotide long non-coding RNA is filed under the name Salmo salar (Atlantic salmon). Its description in RNAcentral is "lncRNA (ENSSSAG00000106870.1, ENSSSAG00000119150.1)". The record is from RNAcentral. Lineage: Eukaryota; Metazoa; Chordata; Actinopteri; Salmoniformes; Salmonidae.
GUAGGCUAAUAUGCUGAAGGCUAGCUGUAUUGGGUGCAGAUGAUAAUAUGUAGGGGUAAUAAUAUGCUGAAGGCUAGCUGUAUUGGGUACAGAUGAUAAUAUGUAGGGGUAAUAAUAUGUUGAAGGCUAGCUGUAUUGGGUACAGAUGAUAAUAUGUAGGGGUAAUAAUAUGCUGAAGGCUAGCUGUAUUGGGUACAGAUGAUAAUAUGUAGGGGUAAUAAUAUGCUGAAGGCUAGCUGUAUUGGGUACAGAUGAUAAUAUGUAGGCUAUAAUAAUAUGCUGAAGGCUAGCUGUAUUGGGUACAGAUGAUAAUAUGUAGGGGUAAUAAUAUGCUGAAGGCUAGCUGUAUUGGGUACAGAUGAUAAUAUGUAGGCUAAUAUGCUGAAGGCUAGCUGUAUUGGGUACAGAUGAUAAUAUGUAGGCUAAUAUGUUGAAGGCUAGCUGUAUUGGGUACAGAUGAUAAUAUGUAGGCUAAUAUGCUGAAGGCUAGCUGUAUUGGGUACAGAUGGUAAUAUGUAGGCUAAUAUGCUGAAGGCUAGCUGUAUUGGGUACAGAUGAUAAUAUGUAGGGGUAAUAAUAUGCUGAAGGCUAGCUGUAUUGGGUACAGAUGAUAAUAUGUAGGCUAUAAUAAUAUGUUGAAGGCUAGCUGUAUUGGGUACAGAUGAUAAUAUGUAGGGGUAAUAAUAUGCUGAAGGCUAGCUGUAUUGGGUACAGAUGAUAAUAUGUAGGCUAUAAUAAUAUGUUGAAGGCUAGCUGUAUUGGGUACAGAUGAUAAUAUGUAGGGGUAAUAAUAUGCUGAAGGCUAGCUGUAUUGGGUACAGAUGAUAAUAUGUAGGCUAUAAUAAUAUGCUGAAGGCUAGCUGUAUUGGGUACAGAUGAUAAUAUGUAGGGGUAAUAAUAUGUUGAAGGCUAGCUGUAUUGGGUACAGAUGAUAAUAUGUAGGGGUAAUAAUAUGUUGAAGGCUAGCUGUAUUGGGUACAGAUGAUAAUAUGUAGGGGUAAUAAUAUGCUGAAGGCUAGCUGUAUUGGGUACAGAUGAUAAUAUGUAUAAUAAUAUGCUGAAGGCUAGCUGUAUUGGGUGCAGAUGAUAAUAUGUAGGCUAAUAUGCUGAAGGCUAGCUGUAUUGGGUACAGAUGAUAAUAUGUAGGCUAUAAUAAUAUGUUGAAGGCUAGCUGUAUUGGGUACAGAUGAUAAUAUGUAGGGGUAAUAAUAUGCUGAAGGCUAGCUGUAUUGGGUACAGAUGAUAAUAUGUAGGCUAUAAUAAUAUGCUGAUGGCUAGCUGUAUUGGGUACAGAUGAUAAUAUGUAGGCUAAUAUGCUGAAGGCUAGCUGUAUUGGGUGCAGAUGAUAAUAUGUAUAAUAAUAUGCUGAAGGCUAGCUGUAUUGGGUACAGAUGAUAAUAUGUAGGGGUAAUAAUAUGCUGAAGGCUAGCUGUAUUGGGUACAGAUGAUAAUAUGUAGGCUAAUAUGCUGAAGGCUAGCUGUAUUGGGUACAGAUG